UAAACCUCUGCGAUUACUUGUUUUACAAUAAAACGUUUAAGUUUAGUCACAUUCACAACUAUAGUUCUCUAGAUAAUUAUGGUAAUUAUUCAUUGUCUUUAGCCUUGAAGACAUACGGAAUUGCAACAGUAAUUUUGUGAAAUGAGACACUGUAAUUGGUUAUACAUGAAUGGAUAAUAAACGAAUGUCGCUGUGCGUACGAAUUCCGUUGUUGUUUAAAACAACAGUUCAAGAAACCCAAUGUUCAAGUGGCAAGAUUUAGUGCAACGAGCAUCGCAUUCAACUUGUUAACAGAUCGCGUGUUAAAGAAAUAUAAUGCACGAAGUGCCGAUCCCGGGUAUUUCUUGAAGUUUGAAUAUCGACUAGCACUUAGCACAUCGCGUUAACGACUCAUGCAUCUAGGCAAUUCACACAACGAUUUAACACGGAAGGUAUGUGGUUAUCUCGCAGCGUCAGAGUGUAUGUAUUUAGAAGUUAAUGAGGUCCUUCCGCGCCUAAGACUGAAUAAUGUGAGGACCCGGAGAGUGUCCCAGCAAUCUUACCUAAUUAACUAUAUAACUCACGAAAGUGUGAGCGAAUUUUAAAAUAUAAGUGCUAUUUGAACUUCCAGCCAUUUUUUUUACUGAAUGAUUUUUUUUUGGUUUGGUUUUGUGUUACGAGGGAAGCAGGAGUGCCAGGAGAAAAACCCACCUGUCGGCUAUGGUGACCACUAACCAAACUCACAUUCAUCCGGGAAUGGUGUUUGAACCCGAGUCGCCUUGGUGAGAAGCGCUUGUACGAACAACUGCGUUAACCAGACAGGUAGUUGACACUGCUUCAGAAUGGCUUCAGGCAGUUUUCAUCCAAACAUCGUGGUCCAAUCGGAGACGGGUAA
Dreissena polymorpha is the source of this 874-nucleotide long non-coding RNA. RefSeq lists it as uncharacterized. Lineage: Eukaryota; Metazoa; Mollusca; Bivalvia; Myida; Dreissenidae. The record is from RefSeq and is a predicted model, not a curated record. The transcript has 3 exons.